Molecule: long non-coding RNA, 719 nt
Organism: Paramisgurnus dabryanus
Lineage: Eukaryota; Metazoa; Chordata; Actinopteri; Cypriniformes; Cobitidae
Source: RefSeq, a predicted model, not a curated record
UUCAUUUCUACAUACUUCACAACCCCUUUAAUAGUCCCUGAUUUCCCUACACGCUUCUGACAUUCUUUUACUGCCGACUUGCAUCUAUUCUUAUUUACUGUAUGGUGUGAGACAUAAACACAAUGAACAUACACAGAUAUGAUGUUUACAUAAUUCCUCACUGGGUUGAGUAAAGUCUACAUCGAGUUUAUCUGAUGGAGUCUCUCUUACAACACCAGCUGGUGUUUGUGUGUUUUGAGGGAGCAAGCCACGACAGAACAGAGCCAAACCCACAGCACAUCAGAAAGCAAUGCCUGCAGGUACCAACAAACACUUCGGAAAUCCGUCAUAUCUCACAGCUCAAGAUUUCAAGAUCGAAAGCAGAUUAAUACAGUUGGCAUCUAUUAUCUGAACAACAACAUCAGUCAUACAGGGCAUUUGGUGUUACAUGGAUCUCCCGACUUAAAAAGCCUGUAAACACUGACCAAAGGGAACAUUGACAAAGCUCCUAACAUAGAGCCAAGCUGCACUACAGCUCCACACCACACAAGGGCGCUGUGGCCCUCAUCUCGCAGGAUCACUCCAAUAAUGACCUUCACGUAGGACAAGCUGGAUGGUGGUUGAGUAGAAGAAAAGCACCCAGGCACACCAUCAUCAUAGCACUGAGGAACAGGAAAAAAACCUGUGCAGAAAAGUUGGCGGGCUGAUAUUGUGCCUGUAAUUCUCCAUCAGAACCCCAG